CUGAACCGAUCACCAGAACCCUUCUAGAAUUAGCUAAUUGAACCAAAACUAUAAAAAAAAUUUUCCUUUUCUCCUCAAUAACGCUAUCGGAGAUCACGAGCUUUGGUCCAGCGUCUCCUCUACCGCUCAGUUUUCGGCGAGCACCCAAUAAAGCUUGGCUUGAGAGUCACGUUAUCAGUAGAAUUGAUCUCUUCUCCAUCCCGUCGGCUCACCUCUUGGACCUAUGUCCCGCUUUUCGUUCGACAAGAGAGGAGGAGGGAGAGAGACAUCGAUCAGACGCUAUUCCGGUCACCUUCCACCAUCGUCGAUGACGUCCUCCUUCCAGAUAGGCAACACUGUGGAGUGGUGACCCCUCUCUGCCAGCGGUGGACUCUCUGCCAUGAGAAAUAGAAAGCAAGAAAUAUGAUUUCAUUCUGAAAGGAGAGAUGAAGGAGUAGAAGUAAUUAAUAUAUCAAAGGUUACAAGGGUCAUCAUUUGUCAUUAAAACAUAGGAGGGAGGGAGCGAGGUAAUUAUGUAAUGGACCGUUAAUUUAGGGAGGCAUGUGUUAGUUUUAAAAAAUAGGAGGUAUGUAUAAUUUACUAGUUAAAUUUUUUAAGAUGGUUAAAUUAUUUUUAUUUGUUAAAAUAGUACUUAAUUAUAUUUAGAUUCAAUAAUUCUUAGACCAUUGGUUUAUAUAGUCAAGGGUAAAGUUGUAAAUUUUAUAAUAAUAUUAUUUUUUUUUCCUCCCUUCA
Molecule: non-coding RNA, 732 nt
Organism: Jatropha curcas
Lineage: Eukaryota; Viridiplantae; Streptophyta; Magnoliopsida; Malpighiales; Euphorbiaceae
Source: RefSeq, a predicted model, not a curated record